ACUCAAAGGAAUUGACGGGGGCCCGCACAAGCGGUGGAGCAUGUGGUUUAAUUCGAUGCAACGCGAAGAACCUUACCAGGUCUUGACAUCUGGCGAAGCCUGUGGAAACACGGGUGUGCCUUUGGGAGCGCCAAGACAGGUGGUGCAUGGUUGUCGUCAGCUCGUGUCGUGAGAUGUUGGGUUAAGUCCCGCAACGAGCGCAACCCUUGCUAUUAGUUGCUAACAGGUAGAGCUGAGCACUCUAAUGGGACUGCCCGUGACAAGCGGGAGGAAGGUGGGGAUGACGUCAAAUCAUCAUGCCCUUUAUGAUCUGGGCUACACACGUGCUACAAUGGAUGGUACAGAGAGCAGCGAAACCGUGAGGUGAAGCGAAUCUCAGAAAGCCAUUCUCAGUUCGGAUUGUAGUCUGCAACUCGACUACAUGAAGUCGGAAUCGCUAGUAAUCGCGAAUCAGAAUGUCGCGGUGAAUGCGUUCCCGGGCCUUGUACACACCGCCCGU
Molecule: ribosomal RNA, 499 nt
Filed under: uncultured bacterium
Lineage: Bacteria
Description: bacterial SSU rRNA
Rfam family: Bacterial small subunit ribosomal RNA
Source: RNAcentral